This is a long non-coding RNA of Myxocyprinus asiaticus (Chinese sucker), 803 nucleotides long. RefSeq lists it as uncharacterized. The record is from RefSeq and is a predicted model, not a curated record. NCBI's taxonomy places the organism in Eukaryota, Metazoa, Chordata, Actinopteri, Cypriniformes, Catostomidae. The transcript has 3 exons.
GCCCCCUCUGAUCUCAGCAGCCAAUCAUAACCCUGAAACAUGAAGCACCAAACUGAAAUCUCCUCCUCAUCAGGAAGGAAUAAAUCUAUCCUCCGGAUGACCACAACUUUGUCCUGAGUCCCUGUCCAGAAGGUCAUUAACAGGAUAUACUGCUAUAACACUUCUCCGUUCUGGUCUCACUCCAUGAGAGAAAGGAUAACAGAUCAUCAGACGUUCUUAGCAUCCAUCCGAGAGACAAAAGAAGAUUAACCAAGUACCAAGUCUCACUACAAGAGACUAUUGCAACAGCAAGUUCGGAAUCCCUAUACCAGGGAGAUACCUACAGCGACAAGGUUUAGCUCUUGCAAGCAAACCUUCUCUUCAAGUUUCGUGCAUCUGCGUGUUCCAGAUGAUGAAUCUUGCACCGACAUAAGGGUCAUGUGUUCCAGAUUGCAAGAAGCCUCUUGGUGCUUCCAGGAGAUCAGCAUUCCUCAACUACUUCAUGUCCAAGGCUGUUGAAAUGGAAUCCAGCUCCUUCCCCACUGUAAUGUGGCCCUGAGUCCCAGUGGAUGAUGUCGCCGUCACCGAACUCAUCGAUCGAUCAAGAAGAACACUCCACUCUCCUAUUCUUCUUUAUCAAAUUGUUCCAGACACUCAUUGUGAGCUGUUGGUGGUGCAGACAUCUGAUUGUGUACCAUUCUCUUCAGUGGAAGAACGAUGCAGCUUCCAACCUGGAAUAAGAAGUGUGGGCUUCAGGCAAUUAAGUGUCAACACGGCGGCUUCCCGAAGAAUAAGAAGUGAUGCAAAGCUCACGUUCCCACCCC